Molecule: ribosomal RNA, 565 nt
Filed under: uncultured bacterium
Lineage: Bacteria
Description: partial 16S ribosomal RNA
Rfam family: Bacterial small subunit ribosomal RNA
Source: RNAcentral
UGGGGAAUUUUGGACAAUGGGCGAAAGCCUGAUCCAGCAAUGCCGCGUGUGUGAAGAAGGCCUUCGGGUUGUAAAGCACUUUUGUCCGGAAAGAAAUCCUUGGCUCUAAUACAGUCGGGGGAUGACGGUACCGGAAGAAUAAGCACCGGCUAACUACGUGCCAGCAGCCGCGGUAAUACGUAGGGUGCAAGCGUUAAUCGGAAUUACUGGGCGUAAAGCGUGCGCAGGCGGUUUGCUAAGACCGAUGUGAAAUCCCCGGGCUCAACCUGGGAACUGCAUUGGUGACUGGCAGGCUAGAGUAUGGAAGAGGGGGGUAGAAUUCCACGUGUAGCAGUGAAAUGCGUAGAGAUGUGGAGGAAUACCGAUGGCGAAGGCAGCCCCCUGGGCCAAUACUGACGCUCAUGCACGAAAGCGUGGGGAGCAAACAGGAUUAGAUACCCUGGUAGUCCACGCCCUAAACGAUGUCAACUAGUUGUUGGGGAUUCAUUUUCCUUAGUAACGUAGCUAACGCGUGAAGUUGACCGCCUGGGGAGUACGGUCGCAAGAUUAAAACUCAAAUGAAUUG